Molecule: non-coding RNA, 74 nt
Organism: Deltaproteobacteria bacterium
Lineage: Bacteria; Pseudomonadati; Myxococcota; Myxococcia
Source: Rfam
GAGAGCCGUGUGCGGGAGAACCGCAGGCACGGUUCGGAGGGCGGGGAGGGCGCGAGCCCUUUCCCGACCCCUGU